Long non-coding RNA from Clupea harengus (Atlantic herring), 221 nucleotides. RefSeq lists it as uncharacterized. Lineage: Eukaryota; Metazoa; Chordata; Actinopteri; Clupeiformes; Clupeidae. The transcript is spliced from 3 exons. The record is from RefSeq and is a predicted model, not a curated record.
GUUGCUGGGGGUUUGACUGUGGGACUGGUCCUCACCAUCAUCAUUUUAAAGGUUGUUCCACGCUGCUGCCGAAGACAGAGGGGUCCUGUGUCCAACUCCUCUGGUGCAGAGCAUGGCCUGGCUGAAAGAAACACCAGUGAGCACCAGCACCAGUCUGAUGGCGGUGAGGAAGGUCUCUGAUUGGGCGAUAAAUCACCUUUCUCUGUUGUAUAUUUAACCAU